RNAcentral lists this unclassified non-coding RNA (229 nucleotides) under plant metagenome. Its description in RNAcentral is "partial contains small subunit ribosomal RNA, internal transcribed spacer 1, and 5.8S ribosomal RNA". The record is from RNAcentral.
UCUCCGUAGGUGAACCUGCGGAGGGAUCAUUACAGAGUUUUUUCCCGCAAGGGUAGAUCUCCCACCCUAUGUUAUGCCUUCUCUGUUACUUUCGCGGGCCGUCCGGCCUCGGUCACGCCACCGCCUCCGGCUGUUGCGCGCCCGCCAGAGGACCCCUACCCCUAAAUGUCAGUGUCGACUGAGUACUAUAUAAUAGUUAAAACUUUCAACAACGGAUCUCUUGGUUCUG